CUCGUGUCGUCAGAUGUUUGAAUUAGUCCCGCAACGAGCACAACCCUUCUCCCUAGUUGCUACGCAAGGGCACUCUAGGAAGACUGCCGGUGACAAACCGNAGNAAGGUGGGAAUNACGUCAAGUCCUCAUGGCCCUUAUGGGUAGGGCUUCACACGUCAUACAAUGGCCGGACCACCAGGGUAGCCAACACCGCAAGGGGGAGCCAAUCCCCAUAAAAGCCGGUCGUAGUCCGGAUUGCAGUCUGCAACUCGACUGCAUGAAGUCGGAAUCGCUAGUAAUCNCGGAUCAACAUGUCGCGGUGAAUACGUUCCCGGGCCUUGUACACACCGCC
RNAcentral lists this ribosomal RNA (333 nucleotides) under uncultured Pseudomonas sp. RNAcentral's name for it is "bacterial SSU rRNA". It matches the Rfam family "Bacterial small subunit ribosomal RNA", at positions 1059 to 1394 of the family's 1533-position model. The record is from RNAcentral. Lineage: Bacteria; Pseudomonadati; Pseudomonadota; Gammaproteobacteria; Pseudomonadales; Pseudomonadaceae.